CGAAGAAAUUCGGAUUAAUCCUCCAUAGUAUUUUCUAAUGGCAUCAUUUGGGAAAUUAAAGCUUCGGCGGUAUAAGAUGGGCAUGCGUCCUAUUAGCUAGAUGGUAAGGUAAUGGCUUACCAUGGCAACGAUAGGUAGGGGGCCUGAGAGGGUGAUCCCCCACACUGGUACUGAGACACGGACCAGACUCCUACGGGAGGCAGCAGUGAGGAAUAUUGGGCAAUGGAGGCAACUCUGACCCAGCCAUGCCGCGUGCAGGAAGAAUGCCCUAUGGGUUGUAAACUGCUUUUAUUUAGGAAUAAACCCUUCUACGUGU
RNAcentral lists this ribosomal RNA (316 nucleotides) under uncultured Bacteroidota bacterium. RNAcentral describes it as "bacterial SSU rRNA". It matches the Rfam family "Bacterial small subunit ribosomal RNA", at positions 149 to 463 of the family's 1533-position model. Lineage: Bacteria; Pseudomonadati; Bacteroidota. The record is from RNAcentral.